UCAGGAAANUCUGGAGUAAAAGGCUAUGGCUCAACCAUAGUGUGCUNUGGAAACUGUCUGACUUGAGUGCAGAAGGGGAGAGUGGAAUUCCAUGUGUAGCGGUGAAAUGCGUAGAUAUAUGGAGGAACACCAGUGGCGAAAGCGGCUCUCUGGUCUGUCACUGACGCUGAGGCUCGAAAGCGUGGGUAGCGAACAGGAUUAGAUACCCUGGUAGUCCACGCCGUAAACGAUGAGUGCUAGGUGUUAGGCCCUUUCCGGGGCUUAGUGCCGGAGCUAACGCAAUAAGCACUCCGCCUGGGGAGUACGACCGCAAGGUUGAAACUCAAAGGAAUUGACGGGGGCCCGCACAAGCGGUGGAGCAUGUGGUUUAAUUCGAAGCAACGCGAAGAACCUUACCAGGUCUUGACAUCCCGAUGCUAUUCUUAGAGAUAGGAAGUUACUUCGGUGCAUCGGAGACAGGUGGUGCAUGGUUGUCGUCAGCUCGUGUCGUGAGAUGUUGGGUUAAGUCCCGCAACGAGCGCAACCCUUAUUGUUAGUUGCCAUCAUUAAGUUGGGCACUCUAGCGAGACUGCCGGUAAUAAACCGGAGGAAGGUGGGGAUGACGUCAAAUCAUCAUGCCCCUUAUGACCUGGGCUACACACGUGCUACAAUGGUCGGUACAACUAGUUGCGAGCCGGUGACGGCAAGCUAAUCUCUGAAAGCCGAUCUCAGUUCGGAUUGGAGGCUGCAACUCGCCUCCAUGAAGUCGGAAUCGCUAGUAAUCGCGGAUCAGCACGCCGCGGUGAAUACGUUCCCGGGCCUUGUACACACCGCCCGUCACACCACGAGAGUUUGUAACACCCGAAGUCGGUGAGGUANCCUUUUAGGGGCCA
This 872-nucleotide ribosomal RNA is filed under the name uncultured bacterium. RNAcentral's name for it is "bacterial SSU rRNA". It matches the Rfam family "Bacterial small subunit ribosomal RNA", at positions 579 to 1451 of the family's 1533-position model. The record is from RNAcentral.